AUGUCGACCUCCACCACUGUAGUUUCCUCCGGCCUCAACAACAAUGUCUCAGAACCUCUCACCAGAUCGAACUAUGUUCUCUGGCGUGCUCAAGCCCGCUCCCAAAUCAUGGGGGCCGGUCUCUUUGGAUAUCUUGACAAAACCAUCGCCGCACCAGAAAAAACCCUAGUCAGCAAAACCUCUGAGGGCAAAGAUCAGGUCGUUCCUAACCCUGCUUAUGCUCCUUGGUUGAUCCAGGAUCAACAAAUCAUCGCCUAUCUACUCCGCAAUCUCUCCAAGGAGGUGCUAGUUCAGGUUGCCUCCCUAGAUACAUCUCAUGCAAUCUGGACAGCCCUUUCCAAUAUAUUUUCUGCCCAGUCCCGCUCCAAAGCAAACCACGUUCGCAUCUCUCUCACCACCGCCUAG
Molecule: ribosomal RNA, 405 nt
Filed under: Triticum aestivum (bread wheat)
Lineage: Eukaryota; Viridiplantae; Streptophyta; Magnoliopsida; Poales; Poaceae
Description: partial small subunit ribosomal RNA
Source: RNAcentral